GACGAACGCUGGCGGCGGGCUUAACACAUGCAAGUCGAACGGAAAGGCCCUGCUUUUGUGGGGUGCUCGAUUGGCGAACGGGUGAGUAACACGUGAGUAACCUGCCCUUGACUUUGGUGUAACUUCAGGUAACUGGGGCUAAGACCGUAUAGGAUCUCCUGCUGCAUGGUGGGGGGUGGAAAUUUUCGGCUGGUGGGGAUGGACGCGCGGCUUAUCAGCUUGUUGGUGGGGUAGUGGCUUACCAAGGCUUUGACGGGUAGCCGGCCUGAGAGGGUGACCGGCCACAUUGGGACUGAGAUACGGACCAGAGUCCUACGGGAGGCAGCAGUGGCGAAUCUUGCACAAUGGGCGGAAGCGUGAUGCAGCAACGCCGCGUGCGGGAUGACGGCCUUCGGGUUGUAAACCGCUUUCGCCUGUGACGAAGCGUGAGUGACGGUAAUGGGUAAAGAAGCACCGGCUAACUACGUG
This 468-nucleotide ribosomal RNA is filed under the name uncultured bacterium. RNAcentral's name for it is "partial 16S ribosomal RNA". It matches the Rfam family "Bacterial small subunit ribosomal RNA", at positions 28 to 507 of the family's 1533-position model. The record is from RNAcentral.